RNAcentral lists this ribosomal RNA (173 nucleotides) under Acinetobacter baumannii. RNAcentral's name for it is "partial 16S ribosomal RNA". It matches the Rfam family "Bacterial small subunit ribosomal RNA", at positions 1 to 169 of the family's 1533-position model. Lineage: Bacteria; Pseudomonadati; Pseudomonadota; Gammaproteobacteria; Moraxellales; Moraxellaceae. The record is from RNAcentral.
AAAUUGAAGAGUUUGAUCAUGGCUCAGAUUGAACGCUGGCGGCAGGCUUAACACAUGCAAGUCGAGCGGUAGCACAGAGAGCUUGCUCUCGGGUGACGAGCGGCGGACGGGUGAGUAAUGUCUGGGAAACUGCCUGAUGGAGGGGGAUAACUACUGGAAACGGUAGCUAAUAC